Molecule: ribosomal RNA, 749 nt
Filed under: uncultured marine eukaryote
Lineage: Eukaryota
Description: bacterial SSU rRNA
Rfam family: Eukaryotic small subunit ribosomal RNA
Source: RNAcentral
UAUCUGGUUGAUCCUGCCAGUAGUCAUAUGCUUGUCUCAAAGACUAAGCCAUGCAUGUCUAAGUAUAAGUAUUAUACAGCGAAACUGCGAAUGGCUCAUUAAAACAGUUAUAGUUUAUUUGACAAUCACUUUUACAUGGAUAACCGUGGUAAUUCUAGAGCUAAUACAUGCUGUAACGCCCAACUUCUCGGAAGGGCUGUAUUUAUUAGAUAACAAGCCAACGGAGCUCGCUCCCUGUGGUGAAUCAUAAUAACUGAUCGAAUCGCGAGGCAUCAUGCAGCGAUAAGUCAUUCAAGUUUCUGCCCCAUCAGCUUGAUGGUAGUGUAUUGGACUACCAUGGCGUUUACGGGUAACGGAGGAUUAAGGGUCGAUUCCCGAAAAGGAACCUGAAAAACCGCUUACCCUUCUAAGGAAGGAACAGGCCGUAAAUUACCCAAUCUGAUUCAGGGAGGUAGUGACAAGAAAUAACCGGACUGGGGCCCUAAGGCUUCAAGAAUGCAAUGGGCCCGAAUUUACACCCCUCGCGAGGAUCGAUUGGAGGGCAAGUCUGGUGCCAGCAGCCCGCGGUAAUUCCAGCUUCAAUAGCGUAUAUUAAAAGUUGUGCAGUUAAAAAGCUCGUAGUUGGACUUCUUGGGAAGCUUCGUGAGGCGGCCUGCAGGGCCUGCCAACGGACCUCUCAUCCUGCAGUUAACGGUCGUUGCUUGCAAGCGCGGUCCGGCUCACUACUUUACUUGAGAAAUUAAAGGGUU